RNAcentral lists this ribosomal RNA (464 nucleotides) under uncultured bacterium. RNAcentral's name for it is "partial 16S ribosomal RNA". It matches the Rfam family "Bacterial small subunit ribosomal RNA", at positions 339 to 795 of the family's 1533-position model. The record is from RNAcentral.
UUACGGGCCGCACCAGUGGGGAAUAUUGCACAAUGGGCGCAAGCCUGAUGCAGCCAUGCCGCGUGUAUGAAGAAGGCCUUCGGGUUGUAAAGUACUUUCAGCGGGGAGGAAGGGAGUAAAGUUAAUACCUUUGCUCAUUGACGUUACCCGCAGAAGGAGCACCGGCUAACUCCGUGCCAGCAGCCGCGGUAAUACGGAGGGUGCAAGCGUUAAUCGGAAUUACUGGGCGUAAAGCGCACGCAGGCGGUUUGUUAAGUCAGAUGUGAAAUCCCCGGGCUCAACCUGGGAACUGCAUCUGAUACUGGCAAGCUUGAGUCUCGUAGAGGGGGGUAGAAUUCCAGGUGUAGCGGUGAAAUGCGUAGAGAUCUGGAGGAAUACCGGUGGCGAAGGCGGCCCCCUGGACGAAGACUGACGCUCAGGUGCGAAAGCGUGGGGAGCAAACAGGAUUAGAUACCCGGGUAGUC